This 1034-nucleotide unclassified non-coding RNA is filed under the name Leishmania donovani. RNAcentral describes it as "gene:LdHU3.31.4500(CDS-product:hypothetical_prote in_conserved)". Lineage: Eukaryota; Euglenozoa; Kinetoplastea; Trypanosomatida; Trypanosomatidae. The record is from RNAcentral.
UUUCUUCCCAUGGCUCCACCACUGCAGAAGCUUCUGUCACCGUGGGGCAACAGUGUUCUCCGAUGCCCACUCUUCUGCCAAGGACCGGGAAGGAGGCGGCCAGGCCGACCGGCUUCCGGGGUGUGUCGCCGUCUUCACCGCAACCUCCCACACUGCGGCAAUUUGUCAUUGAGAAGCAAGGCAGCUUUGAUCGCACCCUCUGGCACACCCGUGUCCUCACCAUCGACACUGCGCACGGCCGACUGUACCUCAGCAAGGCCCACAAGGCCGAGAACCUGGACCACCGCUGCAUGAACCGCAUCGACUCGGUGGAGCUAUGGCCGACAUUCAGCUCGGAUAACAUACCCGAGCAUUUCGGCAGUGAGCUGGCCAGGCGGACGGUCUGUCUGAGGGGGCUGGUGGGUAUCAAAACCCAGUCGUUUUUCAUGAGGUGGUUCAGAAGCAGCGACGCGCGAACGAAAGAGGUAGCGGUGGUAGCUGCAAACGUGGCCCAGACCGGUGCCUCUGCUUCCCGAACCCAGCCACACGACAUAGAUUCGGAUGGUCAUCGAGAGACCAUCGAGGCAUCCGUGCUGUGUCCCGUCGGCAGCUAUAUGCGUUUCGAGGUAGAGGUUUGGUUGAUCCGCUGCAUGACUCUGCAUGAUCUACAUGAAAUGGCUGAUGCCUUUCGCGCCGCGAUUCCGGAGGCGUCGUCUGUGUUGAAAGGCUAUCAAGCGCUGAAGCAGAGUACGGCAGGCUCGGACUGAUGUGCGCGUUCUUUUUUUCUCUGCUGCUGCGGGGGAGGGGGCACCUUUCCCAUGUCGCCCAUGCCAUAGUGCGGUAUUAUAGGUGCCUGUGCAUAUGCACGUUACUACGUGGCUCGGCGGAGAUUCCCUUUUUUGUCUUUCCUUGCCCAUUUUGCCCACUGUUAUCAGCCGAUAGAACAGCUACAAGAGCGGCUACUGGUAUGCCGCGACACCCAGGCCUAUUGCAUCACCAACGAGAGCGUGCGCACCCUCUCAUUCACCGUACACGUGACCGCUGCUUAGUUCUUG